This 269-nucleotide ribosomal RNA is filed under the name uncultured prokaryote. Its description in RNAcentral is "partial 16S ribosomal RNA". It matches the Rfam family "Bacterial small subunit ribosomal RNA", at positions 524 to 792 of the family's 1533-position model. The record is from RNAcentral.
UACGGAGGAUGCGAGCGUUAUCCGGAUUUAUUGGGUUUAAAGGGUGCGUAGGCGGCUUUUUAAGUCAGCGGUGAAAUUUUGCAGCUCAACUGUAAAAGUGCCUUCGAAACUGGUUUCCUUGAGUGUAGAUGAAGUAGGCGGAAUUUGUGGUGUAGCGGUGAAAUGCAUAGAUAUCACGAGGAACUCCGAUUGCGCAGGCAGCUUACUAAACUACUACUGACGCUCAGGCACGAAGGCGUGGGGAUCAAACAGGAUUAGAUACCCUGGUA